RNAcentral lists this ribosomal RNA (397 nucleotides) under uncultured bacterium. RNAcentral describes it as "bacterial SSU rRNA". It matches the Rfam family "Bacterial small subunit ribosomal RNA", at positions 521 to 916 of the family's 1533-position model. The record is from RNAcentral.
UAAUACGGGGGGUGCAAGCGUUGUCCGGAAUCACUGGGCGUAAAGGGUGGGUAGGCGGACCGGUAAGUCCGGAGUGCAAUCUGUCUGCUUAACGGACAAUCCGCUUUGGAUACUGUCGGUCUUGAGUCACACAGAGGAAGGUGGAAUUCCUGGUGUAGCGGUGAAAUGUGUAGAUAUCAGGAAGAACACCGGUAGCGAAGGCGGCCUUCUGGGUGUCGACUGACGCUGAGCCACGAAAGUGUGGGGAGCAAACAGGAUUAGAUACCCUGGUAGUCCACACUGUAAACGAUGAACACUAGGUGUUGGAGGGUUUAGACCCUUCAGUGCCGCAGCUAACGCAUUAAGUGUUCCGCCUGGGGAGUACGAUCGCAAGGUUGAAACUUAAAGGAAUUGACGG